Molecule: ribosomal RNA, 480 nt
Filed under: Escherichia coli
Lineage: Bacteria; Pseudomonadati; Pseudomonadota; Gammaproteobacteria; Enterobacterales; Enterobacteriaceae
Description: bacterial SSU rRNA
Rfam family: Bacterial small subunit ribosomal RNA
Source: RNAcentral
UGUCGUCAGCUCGUGUUGUGAAAUGUUGGGUUAAGUCCCGCAACGAGCGCAACCCUUAUCCUUUGUUGCCAGCGGUCCGGCCGGGAACUCAAAGGAGACUGCCAGUGAUAAACUGGAGGAAGGUGGGGAUGACGUCAAGUCAUCAUGGCCCUUACGACCAGGGCUACACACGUGCUACAAUGGCGCAUACAAAGAGAAGCGACCUCGCGAGAGCAAGCGGACCUCAUAAAGUGCGUCGUAGUCCGGAUUGGAGUCUGCAACUCGACUCCAUGAAGUCGGAAUCGCUAGUAAUCGUGGAUCAGAAUGCCACGGUGAAUACGUUCCCGGGCCUUGUACACACCGCCCGUCACACCAUGGGAGUGGGUUGCAAAAGAAGUAGGUAGCUUAACCUUCGGGAGGGCGCUUACCACUUUGUGAUUCAUGACUGGGGUGAAGUCGUAACAAGGUAACCGUAGGGGAACCUGCGGUUGGAUCACCUCC